UUGCAGUGUUAUAAGAUACAGUACACUGGACCCAGCAAUAGCUUGCUGCCUUCUUGUCUUGUCAAUCAUCCUCAGCCAAAUGCCAAGGUGGUGCUAAGUUUCCUAAGGCUUCUUGCCUGUUGCCUUUGACUUUCCCCAAGACUCUUCCUCUGCUAUAUUUAAUGUACCACUAGGCACUUUAGGGAGAAUGACUUUCCUGCCGUGGGCAGAUUUUAGAGCAUUAUCUUAUAUACAAGGAUGGUCCCCUUAACUCAUUUCAUGUUGGACUGCUAAAUAGGCUCAUCACAUGGUUCUCAGAUAUUUAUCUAUCAAGGCAUUUAAUAUGUAUCAGCAUUCUGUAGCACUGAGGAUGAAACAGUGACCCAGACAAACUACUCCCUGAAUUAAUUCAGGAAGCUUACAGUUGACAGAGGUAUAUACAGUAUCAUUUAAAGGUAAGUUAUAUAGGGCUCGGAGAUAGCACAGUGCUGGCUCACCAGAGUAUCACUCUUGAGGCCCCAGAUACCCUAGGCUUGAUCCCCAGUACCCCAUAAGCCAGGGCUGAACAGUGCUUUUGUCUCUCUUAUUAUUAAAAUAAAUAAAUCUUUUGGGGCCAGGCAGUGGUGCACUUGGCUGAGUGCACACAUUAUAAUACACAAGGACCCAGGUUCAAGCCCCUGGUCCCCACCUGCAGGGAGAAAGCUCUGUGAGUGGUGAAGCAGGGCUGCAGGUAUCUCUCUGUCUCUAUAUCAUCUCCUUCCCUUUCAAUUUCUGGCUAUCUCUAUCCAAUAAAUACAGAUAAUUAAAAAAAAUAAAUCUUAAAAAAAUACAGGUAUGUGCAAGGACCUGGGUUCAAACCCUCAGCCCCGCGCUCCCUGGUGGUCUAGUAGUCAAGAUUCGGUGCACUCAAACUCUCAGCCUCCCACCUGUAGGGGUGAAGCUUCACAAGUGAUUGAGUUAUUGAGCUCAAUCCAAGCUUUGAGCUGGAGAGGACUGAGUUAAUGCGAUUUAAAGGAGUAAAUAGGGAGUCCAGCAGUAGUGCAGUGAGUUAAGCGCACGUGGUGUGAAGCACAAGGACUGGUGUAAGGAUACUGGUUUGAGGUCCUGGCUCCCCACCUGCAGGGGAGUCACUUUGCAAGCAGUGAAGCAGGUCUGCAGGUGUCUAUCUUUCUUUCCCCCUCUCUGUCUUGCCUUCUUCUCUCCAUUUCUCUCUAUCCUAUCCAACAAGGAUGGCAUCAAGAACAGCAACAGUAACUACCACAAUAAAAAAAAAAAAAACAAGGGCAACAAAAGGGAAUAUAUAAAUA
Erinaceus europaeus (western European hedgehog) is the source of this 1286-nucleotide long non-coding RNA. RefSeq lists it as uncharacterized. The transcript has 2 exons. The record is from RefSeq and is a predicted model, not a curated record. NCBI's taxonomy places the organism in Eukaryota, Metazoa, Chordata, Mammalia, Eulipotyphla, Erinaceidae.